GACGAACGCUGGCGGCGUGCCUAAUACAUGCAAGUCGAACGAACUCUGGUAUUGAUUGGUGCUUGCAUCAUGAUUUACAUUUGAGUGAGUGGCGAACUGGUGAGUAACACGUGGGAAACCUGCCCAGAAGCGGGGGAUAACACCUGGAAACAGAUGCUAAUACCGCAUAACAACUUGGACCGCAUGGUCCGAGUUUGAAAGAUGGCUUCGGCUAUCACUUUUGGAUGGUCCCGCGGCGUAUUAGCUAGAUGGUGGGGUAACGGCUCACCAUGGCAAUGAUACGUAGCCGACCUGAGAGGGUAAUCGGCCACAUUGGGACUGAGACACGGCCCAAACUCCUACGGGAGGCAGCAGUAGGGAAUCUUCCACAAUGGACGAAAGUCUGAUGGAGCAACGCCGCGUGAGUGAAGAAGGGUCUCGGCUCGUAAAACUCUGUUGUUAAAGAAGAACAUAUCUGAGAGUAACUGUUCAGGUAUUGACGGUAUUUAACCAGAAAGCCACGGCUAACUACGUGCCAGCAGCCGCGGUAAUACGUAGGUGGCAAGCGUUGUCCGGAUUUAUUGGGCGUAAAGCGAGCGCAGGCGGUUUUUUAAGUCUGAUGUGAAAGCCUUCGGCUCAACCGAAGAAGUGCAUCGGAAACUGGGAAACUUGAGUGCAGAAGAGGACAGUGGAACUCCAUGUGUAGCGGUGAAAUGCGUAGAUAUAUGGAAGAACACCAGUGGCGAAGGCGGCUGUCUGGUCUGUAACUGACGCUGAGGCUCGAAAGUAUGGGUAGCAAACAGGAUUAGAUACCCUGGUAGUCCAUACCGUAAACGAUGAAUGCUAAGUGUUGGAGGGUUUCCGCCCUUCAGUGCUGCAGCUAACGCAUUAAGCAUUCCGCCUGGGGAGUACGGCCGCAAGGCUGAAACUCAAAGGAAUUGACGGGGGCCCGCACAAGCGGUGGAGCAUGUGGUUUAAUUCGAAGCUACGCGAAGAACCUUACCAGGUCUUGACAUACUAUGCAAAUCUAAGAGAUUAGACGUUCCCUUCGGGGACAUGGAUACAGGUGGUGCAUGGUUGUCGUCAGCUCGUGUCAUGAGAUGUUGGGUUAAGUCCCGCAACGAGCGCAACCCUUAUUAUCAGUUGCCAGCAUUAAGUUGGGCACUCUGGUGAGACUGCCGGUGACAAACCGGAGGAAGGUGGGGAUGACGUCAAAUCAUCAUGCCCCUUAUGACCUGGGCUACACACGUGCUACAAUGGAUGGUACAACGAGUUGCGAACUCGCGAGAGUAAGCUAAUCUCUUAAAGCCAUUCUCAGUUCGGAUUGUAGGCUGCAACUCGCCUACAUGAAGUCGGAAUCGCUAGUAAUCGCGGAUCAGCAUGCCGCGGUGAAUACGUUCCCGGGCCUUGUACACACCGCCCGUCACACCAUGAGAGUUUGUAACACCCAAAGUCGGUGGGGUAACCUUUUAGGAACCAGCCGCCUAAGGUGGGACAGAUGAUUAGGGUG
This 1489-nucleotide ribosomal RNA is filed under the name Lactiplantibacillus plantarum. Its description in RNAcentral is "bacterial SSU rRNA". It matches the Rfam family "Bacterial small subunit ribosomal RNA". The record is from RNAcentral. Lineage: Bacteria; Bacillati; Bacillota; Bacilli; Lactobacillales; Lactobacillaceae.